Eriocheir sinensis (Chinese mitten crab) is the source of this 2114-nucleotide long non-coding RNA. RefSeq lists it as uncharacterized. Lineage: Eukaryota; Metazoa; Arthropoda; Malacostraca; Decapoda; Varunidae. The record is from RefSeq and is a predicted model, not a curated record. The transcript has 4 exons.
AGUUAUCGUUAAAAUCGUUGAUUUCUGAUGUCUUGGCAAUAGUUAAGCGUCAAAAAUUGUUAAAUACGAUGCUCUGAGUACAACAAUCUGGCAACGGAGUAUACUCGAGGCUCAGUCAACGUUGUCAAAUUGUCGUACUCAGCCUCUUAUGUUUCCGGCCCAAAAAACUGUCUUCUCCACCCCAACUGGCUUCAUGUAUCAUUAAAAUAGUUUAUUAUUGGUGUUUCUUGGCAAUAGUUAUGGGUUAGAAACCAGGAAAUAUGAUUCUCUGAGUACAACAAUCUGACAGAGGUGAACUCGAGUCUCAGUCACACCGUUGGCAGAUUAUCGAACAGAGCAUCGUAUUUACCGGUUUGUGAGCAAAAGCUAUUGUAAAAAAAAAAACCAAUAAUUAACCAUUUUAACGAUAACUAUAUAUAAAGUCAGUUAUUGGGGUCGAGGAGGUAGUUUUUGGGUCGGAAAUAGGCAAACAGAGGAGGUUGAGUACGACAAUCUGGCGACGUUGCUCAAUCUGUGGUUUGCAGUGUUCGUGUGCCCGUGUGAGGAGGUUGUGCACUUGUCAACGCCUCGCGGUUUAUAGCUUGGAGGUGCUGGGUUGGCGAGCACAUUAGGACUCCAGCAAGACGCAAACUGCCAUGCACACGCCGCCCCAGCCACCACCACCACCGUUUGAGAGUCUUUCUGGGGGUGCCUCGCGCUGUGCCAGUAUACGAAGGAAUAAAGCAGCUAGGUGGCUUGCUAGGUGGGGCCCCGUGAAUGACACCCACGACUGGAGGUGACACGUGACCUGCCUCCCUUCACCCUCCUCGGCAGGGAAGGAGAGGGGCGAGGAGGAAGGUCUGGAAGUGGCGCUGCGAGGCUGUUGGGUCAGAGGGAAGAAGAAUCACCAUCACCGGAUAUUCGUGCCGAUAAAUGAGUCAAGUACAGGUCAGCGUAGUACCGAAGUCUGUGAUCUUACUCCAUUCCUUCAGCUUAUCCUCUGGAGGGAGUCGCGGUGGUGUGCUGACUGCUUGUCGGCGCCACCCGCGAACCUUUUGACCCGACGCACAUGGGGUUGAAUAUUCGUCAAGGUGGACACUGACACUCGCCCAGCACGUCUGUUCGUCCGGCCUUUUGUUGUGGUGAGAUCGGUUCGGUGGCAGCUUGGGGACUGACUUGAGUUUUGAAGACUAAGAAUUUCCACCUUUUACAAGAUUAGAGGCAAAGAAGUGGAGUUAAAAAUAAUUAAAAUAUUACUUACAGUGCACAUGGAUGUACAUAUAUCCCUAAAACUUGGUGUUUGGGUUCGGUCAAACACGUGUACGAUUUCUUGUUUUGUCUGUGUGAACAUGCGUGGAAAGAUAAUUGGUUUCUUUCACAGGAGAGAAAUAUUCAUAUUCUCUUUAUUCCGGUACCCAUGCACACUGUAAUAAUAAAAUUUAUCCACCUCAUGUUAAGCGGCGCGGCUCAACGAUAAUCAUUAGGGCUUGGAGUCUAUUCCACGGCUGAAACGGUUUUUAAUUUGUCCGGUUCAUGGGGAGCAGGGCUGGUGCGGGGCGAGAGGGGGAUGCACACAGGCUUCGGAGUGGUCCCACACUGAAAGUUGGAACCAAAAGAGUUUGUCCAGAAGCUUAUCUGCAUCCCUUAUAAUUUAUCUAUGACGAAGAAGCAAGGCGUAAAGUUAUGGCUAGAUUAUAUUUCCCUAUUGCACUUCAACGGCAAGGAACGUGUCUGGCAGGCUUUGCACGAACGUAUUAGUGACAAGAUGUUGAAAAGUAACUUCUUGGUGCGGUGAAGCACUUUCGCCGUGCCCUGCUGCCACACCCGGAGCUGGGCAAGUGAGGCGGAGGGUGAGACAGCCGUGGCGGGUUGGCGGAGGGAGUAUAAGCGAAGCAUUGGGGAGAGUGGGUGUGCCUGGGGUCGGGUUGGGUCACUGGGUCAGUGAUUUGUCAGGGUGAGGGGAGGUGAAGGGAGUGAUUGGUGGUGCUUUUCUUGGCUCUCCUCUCCUCUCUCGGCUCACCUGCUCCCGCCAGGCCUCUCCUCUUCCUCCUACAUUAUCACAUGUCCUUUCUUCUACCUUCCCUCCUUUUUUCCACCUUUUCUGCCUUUUUGCCACUUUUCCUUUACACUCCAUG